This 253-nucleotide ribosomal RNA is filed under the name uncultured bacterium. Its description in RNAcentral is "partial 16S ribosomal RNA". It matches the Rfam family "Bacterial small subunit ribosomal RNA", at positions 524 to 776 of the family's 1533-position model. The record is from RNAcentral.
GAAGAACCGUACAAACGUUAUUCGGAAUUACUGGGCUUAAAGGGUGCGUAGGCGGUCCGGCAAGUUGGGUGUGAAAUCCCUCGGCUCAACCGAGGAACUGCGCUCAAAACUGCCGGACUCGAGGGAGACAGAGGUGAGCGGAACUCAGGGUGGAGCGGUGAAAUGCGUUGAUAUCCUGAGGAACACCAGUAGCGAAAGCGGCUCACUGGGUCUCUUCUGACGCUGAGGCACGAAAGCUAGGGGAGCGAACGGG